GAUGAAGAACGCAGCGAAAUGCGAUAAGUAAUGUGAAUUGCAGAAUUCAGUGAAUCAUCGAAUCUUUGAACGCACAUUGCGCCCCUUGGUAUUCCGAGGGGCAUGCCUGUUCGAGCGUCAUUAUCACCCCUCAAGCUUUGCUUGGUGUUGGGGCCUGCUGUAAUAGGCAGCCCUUAAAAUCAGUGGCGGUGCUUCAAGGCUCUAAGCGUAGUAAUUCUCCUCGCUAUAGUGUCUAGUGGUUGCCAGCCAGAACCCACCAAUUUUCAUGAUUGACCUCGGAUCAGGUAGGGAUACCCGCUGAACUUAAGCAUAUCAAUAAGCGGAGGA
This 327-nucleotide unclassified non-coding RNA is filed under the name soil metagenome. Its description in RNAcentral is "partial contains 5.8S ribosomal RNA, internal transcribed spacer 2, and large subunit ribosomal RNA". The stretch from base 1 to 120 matches the Rfam family "5.8S ribosomal RNA", at positions 35 to 154 of the family's 154-position model. The record is from RNAcentral.